GACGAACGCUGGCGGCGUGGAUUAGGCAUGCAAGUCGAACGGUAUGGACCUUUCGGGGUUCAGAGAGUGGCGAACGGGUGAGUAACACGUAGGUAAUCUACCCUCAAGACGGGGACAACCCAGGGAAACUUGGGCUAAUACCGGAUGUGUGUAGUGGCUAUUUUUCUGAUUAUCAUUAUUUACGUAAGUGAGUAAUAAUAAGAAGGGAAAGUGGUUAUUACAUAAAAGGUGGCGUAAGCUGCCGCUUGGGGAUGAGCCUGCGUCCUAUUAGUUAGUUGGUGAGGUAACGGCUUACCAAGGCGAUGAUAGGUAGGCGGCCUUAACGGGUGGUCGCCCACACUGGGAUUGAGAUACGGCCCAGACUCCUACGGGAGGCAGCAGUCGAGAAUAGUCUACAAUGGACGGAAGUCUGAUAGUGCGACGCCGCGUGAACGAAGAAUCCCUUCGGGGUGUAAAGUUCUUUUAUACGUGAGCAGUGUCCUUUAUAUUAAUAGUAUAAGGGGAGAGAUAUUAGCGUAUGAAUAAGCAACGG
RNAcentral lists this ribosomal RNA (532 nucleotides) under uncultured bacterium. Its description in RNAcentral is "bacterial SSU rRNA". It matches the Rfam family "Bacterial small subunit ribosomal RNA", at positions 28 to 496 of the family's 1533-position model. The record is from RNAcentral.